GUUCAUUCCAUUGGAGUUUGGAUGUAAAAGUCAGGAUAAUUGGUUGCAGGGAAAAUGUUGCCAGAUCACUGAAAGCCCUCAUACUUGCAUUGUAAUGUCAAAAGGAAGUAAGUGGAGCUCCAGGGAUCUUCUACUCUGGCCUCCUGAAUCUGCCGUUCCUUUUCGAUCUUCAGUCUGUAAGAUGUGAGGGUCAUGAGGGCAGUGUUCAAGAGGCGAUGCUGCGAGCAAGGGUAACUUUGGUGUAUUUAAUGCAAAUCCAGUAAAGAUUUAAUCUCCCAAAUCUCUCUGUAGCUAUCUGUCUCUUCCUAUGGAAUUCGAUCUAAAUACAUGAUAUAUUUGUGUUAUUAUU
Tachysurus fulvidraco (yellow catfish) is the source of this 349-nucleotide long non-coding RNA. RefSeq lists it as uncharacterized. The transcript is spliced from 3 exons. Lineage: Eukaryota; Metazoa; Chordata; Actinopteri; Siluriformes; Bagridae. The record is from RefSeq and is a predicted model, not a curated record.